Molecule: long non-coding RNA, 1475 nt
Filed under: Papio anubis (olive baboon)
Lineage: Eukaryota; Metazoa; Chordata; Mammalia; Primates; Cercopithecidae
Description: lncRNA (ENSPANG00000042792.1)
Source: RNAcentral
CUUACAUAUUUCCUCCUUCCCUUUUACAAGAUAACCCUAAGGGUUCUAAGGGUUGCAAAAGGAUGAAGGGUUGCAGAAGGAUGAAGGUCCGUCUCCUGCAAUUUUUUCAUGCUGAAUAGGGUCUAUGAUAUUCCUGCCUAACUAUUGGGGUCUCUUGUAUUUAGGGUAGAGAGGAGCUCAAUCAGAAAGCAUUAGUCCGUUAAGCAUCGGUUGUACCUCUGAGUUCCAGCAAAAGGUAAAACUCUGGCGCUCCAGCAGUUUCUCAGCUUCCUGUGUGGUUUCCUUGAUCUGUCCCCAUGGUACCUGUUAGUUCCUGCAAGUUCCUGCAAGUCUCUGUCUGUCCCUACCUAUCUCUCUUUCCUUAUCUCUAUUUCCUUAUCUCUACUUAUUUCUUAUUGUCCCUGCAGGCCUCUUCAGGUCCCUUCAGGUCUCUGUCCCUGAUAGUUCCUUUAAGUUUCUGCUAGUCUUUGCUAGUCUCUACUUUUGUAUCUCUUUAGGACACUGACCUUAUAUUGCUCUUAUAUUGCUAGUCUUUGCUAGUCUUUAUCCCUAUCUGUCCCUAUUUGUCCCUGUUCGGGCACCACUUGUGACUGACUGCCAUGGUUACUACUUGAGGCCAUCACUACAACAGUUACUACUGUUACUGCUUGAGACCAUCAUUAUGACUGAACAAAGGGAUAAACACAGAAAUGAUGACAAAAGAAACUAUUUAAAGGAAAGGCUAGCAUGGAGAAGAGGAAGAGAGCUCCCUGCUUCUAGUGAGCAAAGGCAGCCCCCCCUUGAGCUUCUACAGCCCUUCUUAUUAGGUAACAAGAGCAAGGAGGAGGAGGGAAUAUCAUGAGAAGAAUAGUUCUUGGCUAGCUUACUGGUCCCUGAAGAAGGAAAAAAGACAUGUGGAGCAUAGCUGAGAUCAGCCAAACCUCCUGUAAGAAAAUGCCCAGGAUUGCUUGUGUGUCCAAGAAAAAUGUAUUAAAUUAUUUUUCCUUACAAAGACAAUUCAUGAUCUUUACAAACGUAUUCUGUGAUUAAAGGUGUUAAAUGCACAAAAAUUUUGUCUAUUUUUCAUUUUUUAAAAACAGAAAAUGAAACAAAACUGACAUUUUAAAGGCCAUAAUACAGAUUUCAGAAACAAAUUUUAAGUGAAAACACAAGUGAAUAUUUUACUGAAUAAAAGUCUUAACGUGAAAUGAAGCUUUGUGAUAACCAAGGAUGAUAGCAUAGGAAACUCUGGUGUUCAUUUGUUGGGAUUAUGAAUGGAAAGGAAGAGAAAGGGACUUACUAGGUAGGCAUAUGAAGAGUUACCCUCAGAAAGAUAAAAGAGACCUAUUCAGUGUCUCCUAAUUUCUUCCUUUAUUUAUCUGUUCAGAAUCCAGUCUGCUUCGAGAUUCAAAGUCUUGCUGUUGAUGAUUAAUUUUCCUCCUCCAUGAAUUCUGUGUCUAUCCUUGCUAAUCAAAAUCUAGUUCAAGUUAGUAGAG